GAAACAACAGAAACAGUACUGUAUCAUUCAGUACAACUAGUGAUCUUUGCUCUGUUUUCUGAAAGAAUGGAAGAACAAGAAUUCCUUUUUUCUAGUUUGAUACUAGUUGCAGUUUCCAGAAAGAAAAUGUUCGUUACAGAUGCAAAAGUAUGACAGAUUUGCGUCCUUUAGUGGAAUCUUAGCUACUGUACAUACUGGGAGUGAUUUGAAGAACAGAGUGACAAACCAACAAUAAUGAUUUCUUCAAUAGCUAGCCACCAAGAUCCAAUUCAAAAGGAAAAGAUGAACCUAGUUAUCAGGCAGGUGUAUUUAUCGACAACCAGAGGAAUUUCCCUAAUUGGAUUGAUUUGAGUGAGCACUAGGAAUUGUCUUGACAAAUUCUCUACAAGAUCACAGCAUGUGUAAAUAUCUUGGUGCUGCAAAAGCAAGAAUGGAUAAGAUAGGCGAGAAAACGUCUGUUUGCUGCUAUCUUCAGCGAUCAGGAGGUGCCGUAUGAAUUGCGUGAAGUCUAAGUUUCAGUCUCAAAAGGAAGUGAUUAACAACAAAAAUUCCUCAUGAAAGGGCUGUCACCUCAUCAUCAUAACCAAAAAAGCUAUAGACCUUCCUGAUGGGGUCUCCUUUUGGGAUUGUUUUCUAGUAAAUGUUUUAAGCAAACUGUGGAGGGCCGAAUGCAGGUUCUAAUGCAGACAUUUCUUCUCCAAAUGUUUUGGCAUUCCAUGCUGGUGAAUAAGCAGACAAAUGCUUAAACUAAAUGUAUUAAAAGAAAGAAGAAAAAAUAGCGCAGAUUGGAGGGAGGGAUCAUGGUAAUUGUCCUAUGAGGACAUGGCCUUGGAAUUACUAAUAACAAGGUUGAAG
Long non-coding RNA from Vitis riparia (riverbank grape), 855 nucleotides. RefSeq lists it as uncharacterized. The transcript has 3 exons. NCBI's taxonomy places the organism in Eukaryota, Viridiplantae, Streptophyta, Magnoliopsida, Vitales, Vitaceae. The record is from RefSeq and is a predicted model, not a curated record.